UUUUUUUUUUUUUUUUUUGGAGUAGGGGAGAGUGCCUUAGGUGUGCAGUAACAAUGACAUCCCUAAUCAGGCCAUUUGUUGUAGCAAGGUUCCUUUAACUUGUGCCACAGCUGUGUCCAUAUCUCAGCACAGGAGGGUAGUCUUAGGCCCAUGGGAGAAAGAAGCACUUUCCCUGGUUGCUUAUUGCCCACAGUCUCCUUGUCAAUAUGUCUUACUAGUUGUACUUAGGUCAUCUGGUAUUGUCAGAGGGAUGUCUAUUCAAUCAAGGAGAGGAAUAAGUUCAUCUGGGCUACCUUCUGUUGCUAAUUUGGGAUACAGGAUGUGCCAGGUCUGGGUCACCUUCUUGUGUUGGAUGAAGGUGCCUAGGAGAACUUGCUGCUAUUCAUUUUCUCCUCCAGUCCUGGGUCUCAAAUCAGUUUGUCUUCUUCUGACCACCUUUCACAGUUCUCUUUUGAUCGCCUCUUGUGAUAUUUCUAGGGUUUACUGUUAUAUUUAGCUAGGAGAAGAAAAAAUGAUUCUAUGCCAUCUUGUCUGAAUCAAAGUCUCAAUCUUACUUUAAUAUGUUUAAUGAGCGAUUUAGAGAAUAAUGAUGUUUAAAAUACACACAACCCAAGGAAAAAUAAGACAUUAAAAGACCUAAAUCUGUACUCAGUUAUUCUUGCUGUAUCCAGGAUAGCUCCUGACUGAUUAAAUUAAAAGUAAAUGACAGCUCUUGAAGUUAACAACUAAUAAAGCACCAACUAUACUAUGUGAUAACUAAACUGAUUGUAUUUGGUAUUUUAAAAAAUUAUGAUAACUGUUUCUCCAUCCCGUCACUUUCAUUCUGCAGGUAGCUUUUGGUCUAAAAUGCAUCCCUUGUAGGCAGCAUAUAUAUGGGUUGGACUUCAAGUUAUAUUAGAAAGCUGUAGUAAACAAAACAGUAUGGUAGGGACAAAAAAAUAAACACAUAGAAAAAAGGAACAUAAAAGAAAACCCAGAAAUAAACCCACAAUUACAUAGUUAAUCGAUCUUCAACAAAGCAGGAAAGAAUAUCCAAUGGAAAAAAGACAGUCAAUUCAACAAAUGGUGUUGAGAAAUCUGGGCAGCAACAUGUAAAAGAGUGAAUCUGGACCACUUUCUGACAUCAGACACAAAAAUAAAUUCAAAAAGCAUGAAAGACCUAAAUAUGAGAUCUGAAAGCAUAAAAAUCCUAGAAGAGAGCACAGGCAGUAAUUUCUCUGACAUUGGCUGUAGCACUUCCUUCUAGAUAUGUCUCCUGAAGUAAGGGAAACAAAAGCAAAAAUGAACUAUUGGGAUGUCAUCAAAUUAAAAAAGCUUCUGCACAGUGAAAGAAAUAAUCAACAGAACUAAAAGGCAACCAAUGGAAUGGAGAAGGUAUUUGCAAAUGACACACAUGAUAAAGGGUUAGUAUCCAAAAUACAUAAAGAACUUAUAAAACUCAACACCCCCAAAACAAAUAAUCUAAUUAAAAAUGGGCAGAAUAUAUGAAUAGACACUUUUCCAAAGAAGACACCCAGAUGGCCAGCAAACACAUGAAAAGAUGCUAAACAUAAUCAUCAGGGAACUACAAAUCAAAACUACAAUGAGCUAUCACCUCACAACUGUCAGAAUGUCUAAAAUCAACAACACUAGAAACUACAGGUGUUGGUGAGGGUGUGGAGAAAGGGGUACGCUUUUCCACUGUUGGUGGGAAUGCAAACUGGUGCAGUCACCUUGGAACAGUAUGGAGGUUUCUCAAAAAGUUAAAAAUAGAACUACACUCGGAUCCAGCAAUUGCACUGCUAGGUAUUUACUAAAAGAAUACAAAAGUACUAAUUCAGAGGGAUACCUGCACCCUAAUGUUUAUAGCAGCAGCAUCUACAAUACCCAAAACAUGGAAGCAUCCCAAGUGCCCAUAGAAUGAUGCAUGGAUAAAGAAGAUGUAGUAUAUAUACAACGGAAUAUUACACAGCCAUAAAUAGAAUGAAAUCUUGCCGUUUGCAAGGACAUGGAUAGAGCUAGAGAGUAUAAUGCUAAGAGAAACAUGUCAGUCAGAGAAAGACAAAUACUAUUUGAUUUCACUCACAUGUGGAAUUUAAGUAGUAAAACCAGUGAGUGAAGGGUAAGAAAAGAGAGAGAGAGGCAAACUAAGAAACAGACUCUUAAUUCUAGAGAACACACUGAUUAUUACCAGAGGGGAGGUGGCUGGGGGAUGGGUGAAAUAGGUGAUGGGGAUUAAGGACGGCACCUGUUGUGAUGAGCACUAGGUGUUGUACUGAAGUGUUAAAUCACUAUAUUGUACACCUGAAACUAAUAUUAUACUGUGUUAACUGGAAUUUGAAAACUUCAAAUAAUUUAUGUAUUUAGCAUUUAUGUUAGUAACCAAACUAAAAAUAAUGCCAGCAAUAAAAAUAUCUCAGUUCACUGAGAUAUAUGAAACUUUAAUACGUAGACUUAUUUUUCCAUUUAAUUUUAUGAAAACUGUCAAAACUAAGCAAACAAAAAAUUUCACCUUCUGAAACUGUUGACCGGUGUAUGACAAGUAUACAAUGUAUAUACGGAGUGCAUAUAUAAAUAUAAAUAUAUAUAUAUAUACACGUAUAUAUUAAUUACACAUGUCUAACUUGAACAAAGUAGGCAGUACAAUAUACAGCCACCGCACUGCCUAUUAUUUCAAGUGUUUUAGGCAAGGUCAAGACUGGUUAUUUAUGAGGAACCGAAAUUCUGAGUUAAGCACAUUUGGUCUGAAUAUUAAAAUACAUUAAAAUAAUCUAUAUUUUCUAAUAAUUAGAAUGUUUCUUAAGGAAGUAACAAUCAUAGCAAAUAAAAUCAAUUUAGAAGGUGUUUACUUUCCAAAAUCAUCCCAAUUAAAUGUAGGACAAAAAUAUUUAAAAAUGUUUUAACAGUUAAAUAAAAAGUAAUUUUUGCUGAACUACUUCUUUUUUAUAUUUGAUAUUUCCCUCUAAGCUUUUUAUUAAGGUUUACACAAAUGUUCAUAAUCUUGCCACAACGUUUUUCUGUCUUCAAUUCAGGCACUUUAUUAAGGCAUUCUCCUCUACUUCUCUUAUUAUAGGCCCCUUUAUAUUUCUGUUACUUUGGUUUUCUGUCUCAUGUCAUUGGGUAAAAAAUUCAAAAGCAAAGAUUCCUUCCCGCCCCUUCCUUCCUUCUUUCACCCUGAUGCUAACACAGAGCAUAGCGCAUAUAAGUUCCCCAUAGAUUCUUGCUAAAUGCAUUUGUAUUUGACAAGAAAGAAGUAAGUAAAAAUAAAGUUAUGAGAGCAGAGCAGUUUUUUCCUUUGAAAAUCAUAGUUUAAAUUCAGUGAGGGGUAUUAACGACGCUGCAUAAAUGACUUCCUAUUUCACUGAAGUGUUUAAUAAGGCCUUUAAAACAGUACUUCAUGGCAUCCUGCUCAUCAAAGCACAUUUGGGACUCUUUUUGGUUCCUAAUAAGUAAUAAAUAACAACAGGAUUUGGGGUUUGCAUAAGGACCUAAAAAGGAAAGUUAGCUAAGCUAUUCCUAUGUACUCCUUUAUAACUAGGCUGAUAAAAUUUUAGUUUAUUAUGUCUACAAUUUACACAGAUGAAUUUUCAAUUGCUUUCUUUAUUAACUUAUAAAGUAUAUUCUUUAAAAAGUAAACAAAAUACAAAACCUUAGAUAAUGUGACAUAAUAAACUAGUUAUUUUUAUUCUCACUCCGUUAUGGAAAUCACAGUUUACAAAGAGGUUAGAUUAAUCCUUAUUCUUUGUGUGUUGUAAUGUUGGGGAAAGAUGAACUUGGUCCAUUUCAUGUUUUAACACUACAUAGGGAUUCAUUCCUAAUUCAAAGUUACAUCCUAAGAGGAAGAAAAAUAUACACGAAGCCUUUGAAACACAUUUUCUGUUUGUACAGAUUUUGAAAACUAGAGCAUCAAAUGACAAAACUCAGAAUUCUUUCUGCCAAAAUAGUGUAAGGCAUGGAGCAUACCAAGCAAGAGAGAUGUGGGAAGGCCUGCUCAGCCUACAAUUUCUCUCACUUUUCUGAGAACUGCCACCUUUUCCUUCAAUAAACCCAUAAGCAUAGUCCCUGGUGUCAUGUUUGUACUGUGUGACAAUGCCUUCCAGCCAGGGCUGAUUGGACCAAGAUUACUGAUACUUGACUCAAUGUGUGGGACAAAAAAGAUGCCCCCCCUGGGGUGUUUUACCUGAGACUCAUCAACUGAGAACUUGUAUACUCAGUCAUCCUCAAUAGCAGAUGACUAGGGAAAAGGUCCAUGUCCCCACCAUUCUUACAGCUUGCUUAUUCAAUUUUCCUUGAAUUCUACUACUAUAUAAGCCACACACACACACACACACACACACACACACACACAGCAUGAGUACUGAAGUGCAUUUGAUUUGCCUUUCUAUCUCUUGCAAGGAAGGUACAUUAUUAAUAUUUACAACAUGGCUUGAAAAAUCAGGUAUAUUUCAGGAAGAAAAGAUGAUGCUUCUACAGAGACUGAAGUAAACAAGGAACGAGGAUAUUUUUAAUGACAUACAGUAGAUCUCUCUUAUCUAUGGGGUAGAUGUACCCAGACCCCCAGGGAAUGUCUGAAACCGUGGAUAUUACCAAACUCUACAGACACUAUUUUUUCCC
Molecule: long non-coding RNA, 4593 nt
Filed under: Canis lupus familiaris (dog)
Lineage: Eukaryota; Metazoa; Chordata; Mammalia; Carnivora; Canidae
Description: lncRNA (ENSCAFG00805023037.1, ENSCAFG00845021433.1)
Source: RNAcentral